UCCGUGUUCACCACGGCAGUCUCCUUAGAGUGCCCAACUGAAUGCUGGCAACUAAGAACAAGGGUUGCGCUCGUUGCGGGACUUAACCCAACAUGUCACCACACGAGCUGACGACAGCCAUGCAGCACCUGUCACUCUGCCGUAUUGCUACGGACCGCACCAUUUCUGGAUUGUUCAGAGGAUGUCAAGCCUAGGUAAGGUUCUGCGCGUUGCUUCGAAUUAAACCACAUGAUCCACCGCUUGUGCGGGCCCCCGUCAAUUCCUUUGAGUUUUAGUCUUGCGACCGUACUCCCCAGGCGGAGCACUUAACGCGUUAGCUACGGCUCAGCAGGGGUCAAGACCCGCUAAACCUAGUGCUCAUCGUUUACGGCGUGGACUAC
Molecule: unclassified non-coding RNA, 380 nt
Filed under: uncultured delta proteobacterium
Lineage: Bacteria; Deltaproteobacteria
Description: contains 16S-23S intergenic spacer region
Source: RNAcentral